GAGGAAUAUUGGUCAAUGGGCGCAAGCCUGAACCAGCCAUCCCGCGUGAAGGACGACGGCCCUAUGGGUUGUAAACUUCUUUUGUACGGGAAGCACGUGCGCUAUGUAUAGCGUAUUGACGGUACCGUACGAAUAAGCAUCGGCUAACUCCGUGCCAGCAGCCGCGGUAAUACGGAGGAUGCGAGCGUUAUCCGGAUUCAUUGGGUUUAAAGGGUGCGUAGGCGGCCCGGUAAGUCAGCGGUGAAAGUUUGCGGCUCAACCGUAAAAUUGCCGUUGAUACUGUCGGGCUUGAGUUCAGAUGAAGUGGGCGGAAUGAGUAGUGUAGCGGUGAAAUGCUUAGAUAUUACUCAGAACACCGAUUGCGAAGGCAGCCCACUAAACUGCGACUGACGCUGAUGCACGAAAGCGUGGGGAUCGAAC
Molecule: ribosomal RNA, 420 nt
Filed under: uncultured bacterium
Lineage: Bacteria
Description: bacterial SSU rRNA
Rfam family: Bacterial small subunit ribosomal RNA
Source: RNAcentral